This 497-nucleotide ribosomal RNA is filed under the name uncultured bacterium. RNAcentral's name for it is "partial 16S ribosomal RNA". It matches the Rfam family "Bacterial small subunit ribosomal RNA", at positions 28 to 507 of the family's 1533-position model. The record is from RNAcentral.
GAUGAACGCUGGCGGCGUGCCUAAUACAUGCAAGUCGAGCGAACGGCCGUGAAGCUUGCUUCCUUUAUGUUUGCGGCGCACAGGGGAGUAAAACGUGGAUAACAUCCCUAUUUGACUGGGAGAACUUCGGUAAACAGGAGCUAUUAUCGCAUAAUCGUUUGAACCGCAUGGUUCAAGAGAGAAAGACGGUCUUGCUGUCACGUAUAGAUGCAUCCGCGCUGCAUUAGCUGGUUGGUAAGGUAACGGCUUACCAAGGCAACCAUGCAUAGCAGACCCGAUAGAGUGAUCGCCCACACUGGAACUGAGACACGGUCAAGACUCCUACGGGAGCAGGCAGUAGGGAUUCUUCGGCAAUGGGCGAAGGCCUGACGGGGAACCGCGCCGUGGUUAAGGAGGGUCUUGGGUUCGAAAGACCCGUUUAUCAGGGAGGAACAUAUGUGUAAGUAUAUUUGCACGGCUUGACGGUACCGAAUUAGAAAGCCACGGCUAACUACGUG